RNAcentral lists this unclassified non-coding RNA (291 nucleotides) under Zea mays. RNAcentral's name for it is "misc RNA Zm00001eb114190". Lineage: Eukaryota; Viridiplantae; Streptophyta; Magnoliopsida; Poales; Poaceae. The record is from RNAcentral.
CUGGCGUCCGGCGAUGGCACACCACAGCGGCGCGGCGCGGCGCGGCGGGCGAGCCAUGGCCAUGAAUCGAUCGGGUGUCCAGAUCCGGUGGAGGGAGGUCCGGCCAGGCAGAGCCGCAGCCAGCCUGCGUUGCGGCUGCUUGUUCGAAGUGAUCGAUCAGCCGGAGGAUGCCGCGGAGGUAUCAGAUUCCGAUCCCCGGCCCCAGCCGCCCCCGUGCUCGUGCAAGCCUGUCCUUCCCUCUCUGUUGAUCAUGCUACGGCCUUCUACGUGCUAGUAUAUUCUCAGACUUAA